Pseudopipra pipra is the source of this 5831-nucleotide long non-coding RNA. RefSeq lists it as uncharacterized. The transcript has 4 exons. The record is from RefSeq and is a predicted model, not a curated record. Lineage: Eukaryota; Metazoa; Chordata; Aves; Passeriformes; Pipridae.
UCCGUCAGCAUUUUGAUCUGCAGAGGAAAGAGAGGCAGUGUCAGAACCCCACACUUUGCAGGAAGCAGAGAGGAGGGAAAUCACAUUCCGGAGAGAGAAAUGAAACAGCAAAAAAAAGCCGAAGAGCUAUCAAGGAUGAAAAAGCACCAGCUGAAAAGUACCCAAGGAUUUUGCCUGCAAGAUGCUGACCACACUCCCAAGGAGCACAAGUGGCACCAGUGGAGAUGACACACCAGAAUUGGAUGGUUCACGGUAUAACAUAAUUGAUAUGCUUGAACAGUUCUACACACAGAGAGUGUAAAUGCACAAUACAGCAGUAAGAAACAAGGGACUAUUAAUGGUGCUGUAAAAAUCCCCGGUAAGACAAUAGAUAGCUGCUCUUGCUGGUUCUGCUCCCCAUGCUCAGACUGCAGCAGGUGAAGGGAUGAGCUGCAAGGAUGAUUCAGAUUGUGGAAAGUCUGUUAUACGAAAGGAGACUAAAAAAAGGAUGGCUUGUUUUAUCUCAUGCAGUGAAUGCUGAGAGAGGACUCCCUAUAAAUACAUCACGGAUGAGCACACAGAAGGGAGAAGCGCUAUUUAAGCAGAAGCACAAUUUUGGCAGGAAAGAAUUAUGUGAAUAAACUGAAUAAGAGUAUAUUAAGGCUGGGAAUAGGAAGAUUUCCACAUUUCCAAGGAGCUGCAGGAGGAUUCUUCCUCCUGCACUCUUACAGUAGUAGAAAUGGUGGCAAAAAAUUAAUUUUGUUAUGGGGCUGUAUCACUUUAUCAUGUAGUUUCUUUUAGAGGGCUGCCUAUGACAGAAGGGAAAUGAAUUGACCUCAAAGGUCCUCUCCAGUACCAGACUGCAUGCAGGACUAUAAGAUUUGUAUUCACCAGCAUUAAAUCAUCAUCUGAAAUUUAUCUACAUGCUGCUCAGCUUACACGCUCACACAUCUUAUUCCCGCAGUUAUAACCCACAUGGAGGGAAGAAAGGACUCAGUUAUGGUUAGUAUUUAGGUGCCUAUGGCAGAUGGAAUGUUCCAAUGUCACCUCAGUACACACAAUUCACAUCCUACCUCAUGCAGUAGAGAAUAGUAAAAUUAACACUUUCUUUAGCCUCAUACACAGUGCAGACAACACUCUCUGACCAAGUGUUCAGCAGAAGUAAACAGAAAUGUGUUUCCCUCCACAGGAGGAUGAGGAGAGGUCUUCAUCCAGUUCUCCUAGACAGGGAAAUGGCUGAUACCAUUUUUGCAAAGAUUUGAUUUUUCAUAGACAUGAGACAAAGCCUUCUGAGCUGAGUUCUGCUCAUGGAAUCCCCCUUGUCAUGCUACUUUUGUUUCAGAGGUUAUUAACACUGCUGCCAAACUACCCUUUCUAACUGAUUAUAAACCAGAGAUUUUAACAUCAAUUUGCACUAUUUUAUGGAAAGCCACCUUGACAGUGCCCAGUGUUUUUCAGGAUUUAUGGUGUAUUUUCAUACAGCUUCUAAUUCAGUUCUCCACAGUGCUGUACAUGUGCAUGUGUUACACAUGUGUUUUAAACCAUGAGCUCACUUCUAACAUACUCUUUUCCUUAGUGACACCAAUUAAGAUAUAACCUUCCAUCUACACUUGUUCUUCAUGGCUCAAAUAAGCUAUGGUUUUUGUUAAAUGGAAGUGAGUUUCUUCUGCCUCAGCCAGUCUGUUGGGCUUUCUCUUCCCCCCCAUCAGUGUUUCCUAAACAUUAAAAGCUAAAUCUUCUGUGGUUAUGCCAAUCAUUUAGUGAUGCAUUGAUCUUGCUAGAGACAAGUAAUAUUCUUUGCAGAAAGGCAGACAUGUAUUGCCCAACAUCACAGCUUUGCUCUGUAGUUAAAAAAGAAUUAAUUUCCUGGGUAUGGGCAAAUUAGCCAACACAGCCAGAAGGCAGGGUUUGGAACAUAUCUGCAAAAGCAUAGACAUCAAUUCACAAUUAGAAAUAUUCAAUCAACUGCAAGAUUUGUUUUCUGGACUUCAGGCAAAGUUUCAAUGAGAUUUGGGCAGUGUAAGAAGAAAGGAAGAGCAGGAGGACGUUUUGGCUUCUGCUCUAAUUAAGGGCUUUUUAUCAUUGCAAACCUGAUUAAGUUUCUCUCAUGAUUAAUUCCCCAGUGCUAAAAUACAAAAAACUGUGUAGAUCUUUGGCAGAGAAAGAUGGCUUGCCAGUUACAAUAACUCCAUGAGGUUUAACAUCUGGAAUAUAUAAGCAAUAAAUAAAUAAAAUAAAUAUAAAUAAAUUGGAUCACUGACACUCCUGUGAAGUGGGGAUCUUUGAAACACUUGGGAUGGACUGUGAGAAAUUAAUGACCUGUAGAUUAGUCUCAUUCAAAGAAAAUCCUCUUUUGGGAGAAAAUUUGAUAAAUUAAACUAACUGUAUCCAAAAUAUCUAGCUAUAAGUCAGAAAGAAAGAGAGAAUGGCAAAAGCUUAAUAGACUGUAGAUGGGUAAAGAAACCAAUGUUUCCAUAUGAUUUACUUCUACAAACAAGAUGAUUCAGAUUUAACAAAGGAUAUUGAAGAUUUUCUUGCCUAAAAUAACUAAGACAGAGAAGUCCUAAUUAGUGCUAAAUUUAUAACACUCAGGAGAUCGUGUUAUUCCUUUUAUUAAUUUGCUAAUAGCUGAGUUCAAGGGACUCCCCGUUCCCACUGUGGUCCCAUUAACACUUCAAACCACUAAUUGCUGCCUCCCCUGGCUGCAGGUUCCUGGAUUCCCAGCUCUUCUCUGGAAAGAAAAUAUAUUUGGCUAUUGAAACACAAGGAAAGGAGGAAACAACAAAAAUCUCACUUUAGAAUAAUACUUUCAAAAAAAUUUGUUAGGAUGGCACCAUAAGCCACCAUCAAUAUUUUGCACACCCGGGGGUUGCUCAGUUUGGGAAUUCUUUGAGAGAUUUUUACCAAAGUUUUUAAUUCAAGUCAACUUUAAAUUAUUAUUCAAAGCAUUAAUCUAUCCAGGAAAGUUCUUACGUAAUAGUGGUGCUUGCAUUCAUCACCUUUUGAGGGCUUCAGCUUGUAUUUGCUGAUUUAUGUGCCCCAAGGGAUUCCCUGUGUCAAGGCACCUCCUCCAUUAAGUGUGGAGGAUUGGAAAAUGUGGUGGGGUGGCCAGAACCCACCCAGCUGCUCUCACUCCCCCUCCUCAACAGGACGGGGGAGAAAAUAAGAUUAAAAAGCUCGUGGGUUGAGUUAAAGAAAAGGAAAUCACUUACCAUUAGAGGAAUUUGAAUUUAAAACAGUGACUGGAAAAGUAAAAGGCAAAGCUCAGACUGGCUAUUGCCAGGGGCUGGAUUACUAGUGGGGAAUUUUUUUUUGGUCUAAAAGGGUGAGAGACGAGGGUGGAGCUGUACUGAGGGUGUACAUUGCCCACCCUGGCGGCGUUGUGGCGUUGCCGCUUCCCUUUUUGGUGUGAGGAGAUUUUUUUUUUUGUGGCUGAUAUCAUCAGUAAAGCUGUGAAGGGUGUGUGGCAAGCGAGUAUUUUAAUGACAAUUAUUAAAUACGCGUUUUGCUGAGGCGAGGAGGGGAAUUUAUUGGGCCCUGGUGCCCAGGCACUGUCAGUGGGGCUGAGGGACCCUCUGAGGGGAGGCCGGGGCGGCCCCAUGAUGGACACAGCUGGUUCCACCACAGCCCCACUCAGGGCACGGCUGAGCUUGUCAUCCACUGCCUCUGGAAGAAAUGCACUUAGGAAAGGACAAAACACUGUCUGGCAGUGACAGCUGAGCUGUGGGGGAUUUAACUACACAGAGUAUAUAGCCACUUGGUCCCGGUGUGAGAGCUGCAAACUGCCGGGAAGAAGGUGUGUGGAAAAAUGAGAAUUCAAGGAACCUGCAACACUUACAAGGAACCAUCUCUGCAACCUGCCAUAGCACCUGUCAGCCCACCCUUUGUGUUCUUCCUGCUUUGACCCCCUGACUGCUGCUUCAUUUAGGUAAGGUACGUGAGGCAGCCUCAGCAGGGACAUGCAGCAUCCAGCCUGAGGUGUCCUCACUGGGGCCUGGCCUUGAAGCCAUACACCUAUGUGAGAUUGUGAGCUGGAUGUGGCACCUGUUUCCCUCCCUCUGCACCUUUUCAGUGCAAUUCAGGCAAAUUACUUUGUAUCUGGCAUUUGGUAUGUUGGUACCACACCCCUUCACGCUCAGCUAUCUGCACUUUUCUUUACAUGCCUGCAGGUCUUCUCCUGGUUAUUCCUUCUCUCCUCUUGUUUGGAGGGUCCCAUAAAUCCCUAUCUGCUCAGGCAGAAGGAUUUGAUUCUGUGACACAGUGCCUGACCUCCUUUGUUACAGCCAUGCAGGCUGAUGAGCCUUCCCUUCAGUGGGCAACAGGCUGGCACAGGCGAGCUAGAUUGGUUGGGGGGUCCUAUAUGACAACAGAGCAGGGGGACAAAAGAGGAAACAAAAGAGCAUUAUUUUUGCACAAAAUGGAUUUGUCAAGAAAAAAAGGAAAUCAAAGAUCCAAAGGGUUGCUAAAGCCAGGAGACUGACUAAUGGAGAAAAGGCACUGGAAUGACUCUUUUAUAAGCAUCAGGCUCGGGACACAUUACUGAUGGGAAAAGCCUCAUGGCUGUAGCUUUAAACCUAUCCUGAGAGGAUUCUGUGAGACAAAGGGCAGCAGUGGCAGCUUAUGCUAAGCUCUGCACUACUUUCACAACUGAGACAUUUUGGAAAUAUGAGCCUUCAUUUUCCAAAUGAGAAAGUGAGAAUUCUUUGCUGCAGAUUUAUUUCCUUUCCCUUCUGUAGGACAAGUGGGAAAUGCCUGGCAUGUCCUUUGACCUCCUAUUUACCACUGAACUCCCAAUCAGCUGUGUUGUAAAAUAAAACAAACCAAGAAUGUGUGCUGUUUCUUCUCAACAUGUCCCAGUCAUGCAGUGGGUGGCAAUGGGUUAAUGCCCAUCAGCUCUGAUGCCUCACACCUGAGAGGCAGAGGCCCAGCUGGCCCUAAGGGAGAGCAGGGAGCACCUGGGGCUUUUUCUAGGGGAGUGGGCUGGAACCUGCUCGUUGGGGUGAAGUGUUGUUAGAGUGGAGAUGUUUAGUUCCUUGGUGGAAACCUCUGUAAAACUUAGCUUGCCUCAGACUGAAGCUGGAUUGCCUGUUUUGGGAGGUGAAGUGUUUGCCUUGGCUGACUUUGGUUGCUUCCCAUGUUUCUCACGGCUGGAAGACUGGAAGUGCUGCUGGAGAUGGACAUAAUAAGGUACUGCUACUUUUUUAUUUCCAAGCGUCCUUGAAAAGUCCUUUUCAUAAAGAUAGUGAACUUUUGCUGCAUCAUUAAGCAAAGCAUGAAAAUAGAGUAGAUUGGCAGUGUUUUCCUGGCAAUGUAAUUGUUCUUUUUAUCCCUUCCUAUAAGGUUAGGUUAUAUAUGAGAACCAGUUUGUAAGGCAAACACCUGAAUGCUUUGGUGAAGAGCUUAGGGGAAUGAAUGCAAAAUGGUGGUCUUCAUCUUGUCUCUUAUUAAGUGCUCAGAUAACUGUUUGACUGAGGCCAAAGACCAUUAGCUGGGACUAAAUCAAUUUACAGGAUUAGGAACUGCUUUUUAGAACAAAAGCACAGGCAGUUGUGUGCCAUAUGGGGGCAACUCUAUCUGGGUGCAACAUCUCCAGGUUCAUUGUCUGAAUGAGAGAAAUAGCUUCACAAGUGGCUGUGGGUUGUGCACAUGUUUUAGGAGGUGCUUAAACACGAGCCUCCCUUUUUUUUUUUUUUUUUUUAAUGUUUUAUUCUUGACCUAAGCAUUUGGCUCUUGUGGAGAGGAAAAUACAGUGUGUGGAAAAAUGAGUCAGCCAGCUUCCUGUGGGAGGGACUGCCGGAGGCACGAUGCUUUGAAUGCUGCAAUAAAUUAGCAGUGGAGAUAACUCAGAGGAC